RNAcentral lists this ribosomal RNA (525 nucleotides) under Triticum aestivum (bread wheat). RNAcentral describes it as "partial small subunit ribosomal RNA". Lineage: Eukaryota; Viridiplantae; Streptophyta; Magnoliopsida; Poales; Poaceae. The record is from RNAcentral.
AUGGCCACGUAUUUCGACUCGGACCGUCAGUCGAAGAAAUACUACACAAAUAUCAAGAAAGUUCUUGAUGAUGCUCUCCCCGGCUACGCCAACUCUAGAGGCACCUUCAGGAGGCCAAUUUGUAGGUACGGCAAGCACGUGUUCACCCACGUAACGGCGUUCCCUGUGUCAAGCAGCCGCGUGGCAGUCAGAAGGAUGCCUACUAUGCCCUCCAUCACAUGCGGGCGAUCGUACGGGACCAUAAUCACCUUAUGCUACCAAAUAAUCUCAAAGAAUGGGCCGCACGCUUGUCGGCAAUCCAGGACACGGACAUCAGACAAGAAUUCUUUCGCAUCCAGUCGAAGUUUGCGGAAAUCAUCUAUCCUUCGUGCCUCAGGGCAGUUCUACCUCAAAUAUCAACCGUCCAACAGUGAAAUAGAAACAACGCUACAAAUGCAGGCUGACAACGACCGCACAUUCAUGACCAUCAUGAUAGACGGCGGCUUCAUCCAUGCUCCGGUCCCUGAGUCUAGUCGAAAGUAUUGA